This is an RNA transcript of Dermochelys coriacea (leatherback sea turtle), 5713 nucleotides long. It is a transcript of the gene named reticulophagy regulator family member 3, with no coding region annotated. The record is from RefSeq and is a predicted model, not a curated record. Lineage: Eukaryota; Metazoa; Chordata; Testudines; Dermochelyidae. The transcript has 10 exons.
GAUUUCCCCAGUGGGGUCCGCCAUGCCGGUGGCCGCGCGCGGCGGCGGGUGACCCCGCGACGGGGCAGGGCUGACCCGCGCCGCCUGUGACGUGCGGGCGCGGAGCGGAUGUCGCUCCCCUGGCGGGGAGGCGAUGGCGGCGGCGGCCGGAGGGAGCCGGGCGGGCGAGCGGGAGCGGCGGGUGCGAGCGCUGAGCGCCGCCCUGCGGGCCCGGCUCGGGCCCUACGAGCCGCUGCUGAGCGCGCUGCAGGCCGCGCUGGUCUGGGAGCGGCCGGGCCGCAGCGCGCUGGGCUGGGCGGGCGCGCACGGCGCCUUCUGUUUUUUGGCACUGACUUCCCUUCGGCUGGUGUUCUUGGUUGCAUUUGGCCUGAUAAUAAUAGUUUGUUUAGAUCAAUGGAAGAAUAAAAUCUGGCCUGAAAUUAAAGUGGCAAGAUCUGACGAAUUGGACAAUGAGAGCUGGGGCUAUGUACACCCUCAGUUGCUGAGUGUGCCGGAGCUGUGUCACCAUUUAGCUGAUGGAUGGGUUACUGGGGUCACCUUCUUAAGGAAUCUCUUCGUUUUCAAAAAGCAAAAUCCCGGCAAGUUUUGCCUUUUAGUGUGUGGAGUCUUUACUUUCUUGGCUGUUCUGGGCCGGUACAUUCCUGGACUCUUGCUCUCAUACCUUAUGCUGCUCUUCAUCCUGCUAUGGCCUCUCACAGUGUACCACAGACUGGGGCAACGCAUGUACAUGAAGCUGGAGCCAGCUCUGCAGCGGUUGGAUUUUAGCGUUCGAGGCUACAUGAUGUCAAAGCAACGAAUGAAGCAAUUGCACCAGCGAGCGCUGAACCAGGAGCCUGCUGAUGCUGGGAGUGACAGUGAAGAAGAACUUGCUGCAUUCUGUCCCAAGCUGGAUGAUUCUGUAGUUGCUAAGGAACUGACUAUCUCCGACUCUGAGCAUUCAGAUGCUGAAGUUUCCUACACUGAGAAUGGGACGUUUAACCUGUCAAGGGGACAGACUCCACUGACGGAGGGAUCUGAAGAUCUUGAUGGUCACAGUGACCCUGAAGAAUCUUUUGCCAGGGAUCUCCCUGACUUCCCUUCCAUAAAUCCAGAGGUGACUGGAAUAGAUGAUGAAGAUGACACCAGCAUUGGGAUUCCCAGCCUUUACCGCUCUCAAGGCAUGGAAGAUCUACGUAACCCAUAUGACCAAGAAGAAGUUGUCCCUGCGCUCCCACUAGGGGCACUGCCCUCUGCAAACAAUCUUACAAAUAACUUAGCUGGAUUUGUCACCAGAGGCAUGAUACAAUUAGCCUUGUCAGGAACCUCUCAGCCAGACCCCUUAUGCAGUGACAAUCCCCAGAGAGGCACAAAAACCUAUCUUAGAACCUCCAGCUCCGAUUUGGACACCGAUGCAGAAGGGGAUGACUUUGAACUGUUGGAUCAGUCAGAGCUGAUCCAGCUGGAUCCAGCUGGCUCCCGAGGCCAGUAAGCAAUCGUACUUCCUUCCCUUCUAAUUUUUCUGUCAUGAGUAGCAGAGGGGAAUCUUCAGCAGAAAAAGCGUUGUACAGUAAUCUAAAUUGUCUCCUGUGGGUACAAGUAGUAUGGCAACCAGUCAUGGCUGGGUACAUCACUGUGAUGUGAAUUUGUAGGGCUAGCUUGGAUUUCAAAAUAAAUCAUGCUUUGGUAGCUCACAGGGCAGAGGCUUUUGAUGCAAUAGCCCCAGUCGCACCCACACAUCACUCUGCAUUGUCUCUGUGACGCUCCUUGCCCUAACCCAAACCUGCUCACUUGAAACAAUAACUGCUGAGUGUGUCUGCAGCUGUAGUGCCCCUUGGCAGACCACUUCAGUUUGUUAGGAAUGUUCUUGCACCAGCCCAGUCUCGCGCAUGCAGACACUCGGCAGAAGGUGAACAGGACUGGUUUCCUCUUAAAAACAUGGAUUAUGCUAUUUCAACUUAAAAUUCCCUACUCCUAAGUCAUUCACAAAAACAACUGACAUUUCUCCCUCCUCCCUCAGUAGUAUCCAGCUGUCUUGGGUAGAAAAAACAACCUUGGUAUUGCUGACGUAAUGGCAAAAGCAGUAUCGUCAUAAGUAAUGACAGAAUUCAUAUUGCUCUCAUCAAAACUCAAGCUUUCCAGUGAUGCUAGUUUAUAAAAGUCAUAAUGGCAAUAACUCAUCUACUAUGUUGGUUCCAGUCCUUCGGGGAGCAUCUCUGUGCAACAGCUGCUAUUGCAUUGGAUUGACACUCUGCAGAACUAAAUUCUCCCACUUUAUUCUAGAGCAGCUACUGCCUGGGCAAUAGCAAUACUACAUUCUAUAUCCUGCCCUGGCAUGGAACUCCUUAGAUGGGGUAGAGGGGAUUCAGUCUCCAUGGCCCGUUUCGUUCUUGGUCUCUGUGACAUUGCCCAGAUUGAGGUAAUAUUGUGCAGUGAAGACUCCUGUCCACUAGGCCACCAGCUCAUGUCACACAUGCCACCAAACAACUGGGAGAUGGUGGCUAUUUUUGGUCACUUUUAGACUUGAGCCAGCAACCUGAAGGGGAGGCUCUUGAGCCAUCCAGUCCCUAAAUUUCCCAGUGCUUUUCUAAGACACAGAAAUUGAUACUGAUUACACUUGUACAGCAAGCAGCUCAUCUCUUCAGGGAAAUUUUCUUGUUCAGUUCAAUUCUAGCUUUCAUUUUAUUUGUGCAUUUUUAAGUCAAAGUUAGGCUGAAUGCAUACUACUUGUAUGGAAAUCAUGGCCAUAUAGAAAUCUAAGCUAUAAAAUGGACAUAUGUUGGUAUUGGAUAUAAAUUCAGGUUAUGAAUAGGAAAAAAACUGUGGAUGUUUUAUCCAUAAUUAGUAUCAAAACAACCUGGUUGGAUAAAAAUCAACCUUAGCUAUGGUGCAACAAGGGCACCCCAUAAUAACCAAAAUGGACAUGGGCCUAAAUUGGCAUUGAAAACAAAAUAUAGAAAUAGCUCCAACCCCAAAUCCUUAACUGGGUUAAUUUGGACACUGUAUGUACUUGGCUUUUAUACAGUCUUAAAAUUACUCAUUAAAAAUACAAAGAUCUUGUUUACUGAGCUUGGAAAGGAAUCAGUGCCCUUUACCUACUAUCAGACCUGCUUCUAGCUGCCUCUGAUGACGCUCCUGCCUCAGUGCUGAGGUAUCCAGUGUGGCUGGGAUUAUUCCGGUACCAUGGAUAUGACUACAGAAAGUGCUCUUUGUAGGCUGCCUUCUCAGGAGUCUCUUGUCACUGCCUACAGCUUUCAUGUCAGUAAAUGGCGAUUUCUCUUGGCUUGCAGGCUAUAUUAACACAUGCAAAAGACUAGAAUCUGCCCCAUAUCACUUGGGAGCAAUAACUAAAUGAGCCACUAACUAGCACUUUAAAUUGAAACCAUAAACCUGAGACUAGAUUCUAAAAUCUACUUAAUAUAGUCAUUCUGCUCACCUACAAGGCUCUGAUGGGUGUCCUCAUCUGAUCUAGUGCAACUUUAAUCCUUAUGGGUAAGGGAAUUUCUGGGAAUAAUUCUUGAAUGUUAGAGGAGCAUAUUGUUGUAAACUACCACAUUGCUGGAACUGCUUUUCACCAAGGGCAUGGAAUGGGUGUAGAGAGCAGAUCUCAACCUGUCACUUGGGGUUGAGAGAUUUUCGAACUGGUGAUGGGAGCCCUGUGUUAUAGGGAAGAGUAGCUGCCUCUUACAAUGUCAGGCACUAGAUUCUGGAACCAAGCACAGCAGGAGCCAAGGCAUGCAUAUCAUGGUUUUGUUAAACAAAAUCCCUAUGUGAGCACUUUGCAAACACUGAAAUGAACCUUGUCAUAAGACUUAAUGUCUUGCAGGUUGUUUGAAGAGAAUGGAAUCUCACUGUGCCAAACUGUACUGCUAUUGCAUGAGUAACUUACAGCACCAGAGGCUCAAACAUCAGGUACAACUUGACAAGUUCACUUUUUUAAAACCUAGAAAAAGUAUUUAACUCUUAUGUGAUAUUUUGCCUUUUUCCUACUGUCACCUCUUUCUUGCUGUGAGGAAGAACAAACCAUGUAUUAAAUCAUCCUUUUACACUCCAUAGUGGUGUUAAUACCAUGCUGUAAAACUGUUCAGAAGUUCUGGUGACCCUAAGUACUUUAAAACAAGAUUUGCAGCUCCCCAAGUCAAUGGAAGCGCUCUAAACUCAGCUGGCUUUAUUGGACAACUGGAUAGAUUAAUUGUAUCAGAUCAGGGUAAAACAAGUCAAUAUAAAUCUAGGGUGGUGUUUUCUGAAACAUCCCUGUUUAAAUGCAUCUCUUUGUAAGCAAUCAGCAUAAUCUAAACUAGAACUGAAAAAACAAUGCUCAGUGCCAAUUAUAGUCUAUUUUCAGAUGCAUCUACUAGUGAUUUAAGAGUCUGAACACCCAGUUUAUUCCCUGGAGCACUAACACUUCCUGUAUCACAGACUCAUUUCUUCAGUCAUCCCUUUGACCCCAACCCCCCAAAAAGGCUGUGUCAUGGGGGAGCAGAGCUAGAAAGCUGGUGAUCUGAGCAUGGAUCUCCUACAGAUUGCCUUCUCUGCCACUGGGCGAGUAACUUUGCUUCUCCAUACUUCAUUGUUGCUAUUUAGAAGUUAUUUGUCUCUUAUGGGGACUGUCAAGGAGGAGAAAAUAAACCAAUCCAUGAUGAGCAGUAUAGGUUUCCCCCAGACUAUUGCCACUGCUUUUGCUAGUGCAGGCUCCAAAACGAAGCUUCAUACACAGUGUUGUGAAUUUUUGGCUCUAUUUUCAUACUCAUUACAGCCCUCCUUGUCCAUUGUGUAUUCACUACCAUGCCUUUUAAAGCUGAAGAAUGCCGUACUCCACUUAAAUCACUGAAAAUUCUUAUGAGUUAUGUCUUUACUAGUAUACAGUGUUGUAGCAGUGUUGGUCCCAGGAUAUUUUGUCUUUACUAGUGGCAGUCUACCUGUCUUCUCUUGUAGGGCCAGAUAGAAAACCAACACCUUCUGCUGACUAAGGGGGACAUUUUUUCUUUAAUAUUCUGUGCUGAAGAAAAUGACUCUUGUAGCAGAACACCCCAAAUGAUCUCUAACUAUGGAUGGGUGAUGAGCACCUCUAGGUCAAAGUGCUUCCCUUCGCUGCAGUGCAGUGUAACACAUUGUAACAAAUGGGGAUGUCUGUUCUCAGCUGUGGCACAAGUGAUACUGGGGCCACUUAAAUAUAAUUCUUUGGAAUACACCUGACCUGCCCCCUUCCGCCCAGGGAGCAGAAUUCACCUGGUUUUGUGAACAAAUGUGAGAUUUUGGCAAGGAGGAGGAAUCUUGUGAUUUUACAUUUUAAUGGCUCUCUGGCAGUUUCCAAGAUCUUUAGUAACUUGUGAAAAUGUGUAAAUUUGCUCAGCUGAAACUUUCUGUAGACCAGCAUAUUCACUGUGAAAGCAUCUAAUUCCAGCUGAAGUUGCACCAUCUCUAGAAUUCAUUAGUUUAGAAUUUUAUGACUUUAAAUCAUAGCAUUUUAAGACACAUGAUACCACCCCUGCCCUUAUUGGCCAAAUAAUAAUGUGAAGUCAGUCGUCACAAAGUCAGUGACAUUCCUAGUGAAACAAUACACCCGAAGGCUUGCAUAGGACAGUGUGCAGUGCUCUGUAACUUUUAAAUGGGUUGGUUUUGAUAUCAUUGGUGUGGCAAUAUCAUCCUUUGUGUUUACAGUAGCCACCCUUGUGAAUGUUUUGAGUCAUUUGUCAGUUUGCAAUUUUUUGAAGUGAGUUAAGUAAAACGUUGAUAA